Molecule: transfer RNA, 57 nt
Filed under: Parascaris equorum
Lineage: Eukaryota; Metazoa; Nematoda; Chromadorea; Rhabditida; Ascarididae
Also listed under: 1 other name
Description: tRNA-Leu1
Source: RNAcentral
GUAUACGUAGUAUAAGUAAUAUGAAAGAUUUAGGUUCUUUAGAUGAGGUAGUAUACU